Molecule: long non-coding RNA, 237 nt
Organism: Cuculus canorus (common cuckoo)
Lineage: Eukaryota; Metazoa; Chordata; Aves; Cuculiformes; Cuculidae
Exons: 3
Source: RefSeq, a predicted model, not a curated record
CCUCUCUCCCCCCCCUCCCCCCACAGGAGGGACGCAGCGAAGGGCCGGGACCGCCCCGGAGGGAGGGGCACACCGCCAUCGUCCCCGAGUCCAUCGGCCCCAUGGAAACCCCCCAAGCUGCCGCCCCCCCCAACAGAGAGGAGGAAGAGGAAGCGGAAGCGGAAGUGCCCCCCCGCCCCUCCCCCAUCUGCUCCAGCUGCUGACCCCCUCCCCCCCACUUUGGGGGUGUCCCCCCCC